This is a long non-coding RNA of Motacilla alba alba, 514 nucleotides long. RefSeq lists it as uncharacterized. NCBI's taxonomy places the organism in Eukaryota, Metazoa, Chordata, Aves, Passeriformes, Motacillidae. The transcript has 4 exons. The record is from RefSeq and is a predicted model, not a curated record.
GAAAAGGAUUUUGCACAUCACAUAGAAUAUUUUGCAUAUUCUAGUGUGCCUGUGAGCUGCUGUGAGGGAGAAAAAGAGAACUCAAAGAGUUUUUCUGUCAGAGACUGUAAAUGUGAAGUAAAAAGUGCAAUCAACUAGCCCUGUCCUGAAUAAUUUCCUUGUUUCUGGUUCAUCUAUGGCUUUUCUGUAGAGGUACAUCCAUUUCCAAACCAUGCUCUAUUCAAAAUGCAACUGAGAAAGACAAAAUAGAGCUACCAAUCAAAAGAUGCAUGGACAAAGCAGAACUACCAAUCAAACAAUGUAAGACCAAGGUGGCCCAGAGCUGAAUGUCCUCAAUUCGUUCAGUUUUUCUCCCUAAACAAGUGAAUUCCAACGUGAGGGCAGAAAGCAAACCGACAAGGUCCCACGGCACUGCAUCCUCCAGACACCCCAACUUUAUCGUUCUCAAGCGGAUGAGUCCUGCAGACACGGAACAGGCUGGCACUGGCUGGGCUCAGCCAAGGCACACACAGCA